Molecule: long non-coding RNA, 799 nt
Filed under: Ananas comosus (pineapple)
Lineage: Eukaryota; Viridiplantae; Streptophyta; Magnoliopsida; Poales; Bromeliaceae
Description: long non-coding RNA (ACOM_LNC030886)
Source: RNAcentral
UUUAAUAAAAACUUAAAAUAUUACUGAUUAAAAACUUAAAAUAUUACUGUCAUUUCUAGGAUUUAUAUGUGGGUUGUAAUAAUUUUUAUGAAAUUAUUAGGAUUGUAUGUGAAUUAUAGAAAUUUUUAUUUAGUUGUUAUUAUCAUAUUAUUAAGUUUAGUUAGUAUGUUUUAUACGAUUCUUUUAAUUAUACACUUAUUAAAGUAAUUAGUAUAUAUUUUGGGCUGGGGCUACUAUACUCAUAUGAGUAUAGAGCCCUUUAUACUCAUAAGUUUUCAGCCAUUGGGAUGAAAAAAUAUGCGGUUCGAAUGAGAAUGGUUAUGGUUAGGUUAAUAGUGGAUUCCUUAGGAUUGAGUGGGUGGUUAGUUGAAUAGUAUAAUUUAACGGGUGAAAAUAAUUAAAAGGUAAAUCUAACGGCAAAAUAUUUAUGAGUACAUGAGGCUCUAUACUCAUAAGAGUAUAGUAGCCGGACUCUAGAUUUUGAAGCCAAAACAUUAACGACCGACUAAAAUCAAACAAACUGGGCGGUUGGAUACUAAAAUCGAAAUAUUUGAAAGGUUGGAUAGCUGUUUCAAAAUGAUCCAUAAAAUCACGUAAAUUUUAAAAAGUUAACAAAGUUACAGAACCAAGCUAUGAGAUCGGAAUAGUACAAGAACUCCCCAGACAUUUUUAGAAAGCCCUUGAGAAUAUGAAAGGAGAGAAAUCACUCUAGUAGUAAAAUCGAAAUAUUUGAGAGAUUGAAUAGCUGAUUCGGAAUGAUCCAUGAAAUCAGAUGAAUUCUAAAGUUGGCAAAAGUUGC